This 916-nucleotide ribosomal RNA is filed under the name uncultured bacterium. RNAcentral's name for it is "bacterial SSU rRNA". It matches the Rfam family "Bacterial small subunit ribosomal RNA", at positions 8 to 916 of the family's 1533-position model. The record is from RNAcentral.
AGAGUUUGAUCCUGGCUCAGGAUGAACGCUAGCUACAGGCUUAACACAUGCAAGUCGAGGGGCAGCGGGAUUGAAGCUUGCUUCAAUUGCCGGCGACCGGCGCACGGGUGAGUAACGCGUAUCCAACCUUCCGUACACUCAGGGAUAGCCUUUCGAAAGAAAGAUUAAUACCUGAUGGUAUGAUGAGAUUGCAUGAUAGCAUCAUUAAAGAUUUAUCGGUGUACGAUGGGGAUGCGUUCCAUUAGGUAGUAGGCGGGGUAACGGCCCACCUAGCCAACGAUGGAUAGGGGUUCUGAGAGGAAGGUCCCCCACAUUGGAACUGAGACACGGUCCAAACUCCUACGGGAGGCAGCAGUGAGGAAUAUUGGUCAAUGGACGAGAGUCUGAACCAGCCAAGUAGCGUGAAGGAUGAAGGUCCUACGGAUUGUAAACUUCUUUUAUACGGGAAUAAAGUAUCCUACGUGUAGGAUUUUGUAUGUACCGUAUGAAUAAGCAUCGGCUAACUCCGUGCCAGCAGCCGCGGUAAUACGGAGGAUGCGAGCGUUAUCCGGAUUUAUUGGGUUUAAAGGGAGCGCAGACGGGUCGUUAAGUCAGCUGUGAAAGUUUGGGGCUCAACCUUAAAAUUGCAGUUGAUACUGGCGUCCUUGAGUGCGGUUGAGGUGUGCGGAAUUCGUGGUGUAGCGGUGAAAUGCUUAGAUAUCACGAAGAACUCCGAUUGCGAAGGCAGCACACUAAUCCGUAACUGACGUUCAUGCUCGAAAGUGUGGGUAUCAAACAGGAUUAGAUACCCUGGUAGUCCACACGGUAAACGAUGGAUACUCGCUGUUGGCGAUAUACUGUCAGCGGCUUAGCGAAAGCGUCAAGUAUCCCACCUGGGGAGUACGCCGGCAACGGUGAAACUCAAAUGAAUUGACGG